This 467-nucleotide ribosomal RNA is filed under the name uncultured bacterium. Its description in RNAcentral is "partial 16S ribosomal RNA". It matches the Rfam family "Bacterial small subunit ribosomal RNA", at positions 28 to 506 of the family's 1533-position model. The record is from RNAcentral.
GACGAACGCUGGCGGCGUGCUUAACACAUGCAAGUCGAACGGAAAGGCCCUGCUUUUGUGGGGUGCUCGAGUGGCGAACGGGUGAGUAACACGUGAGUAACCUGCCCUUGACUUUGGGAUAACUUCAGGAAACUGGGGCUAAUACCGGAUAGGAGCUCCUGCUGCAUGGUGGGGGUUGGAAAGUUUCGGCGGUUGGGGAUGGACUCGCGGCUUAUCAGCUUGUUGGUGGGGUAGUGGCUUACCAAGGCUUUGACGGGUAGCCGGCCUGAGAGGGUGACCGGCCCCAUUGGGCCUGAGAUACGGCCCAGACUCCUACGGGAGGCAGCAGUGGGGAAUAUUGCACAAUGGGCGGAAGCCUGAUGCAGCAACGCCGCGUGCGGGAUGACGGCCUUCGGGUUGUAAACCGCUUUCGCCUGUGACGAAGCGUGAGUGACGGUAAUGGGUAAAGAAGCACCGGCUACCUCCGU